RNAcentral lists this long non-coding RNA (216 nucleotides) under Mytilus galloprovincialis (Mediterranean mussel). Lineage: Eukaryota; Metazoa; Mollusca; Bivalvia; Mytilida; Mytilidae. The record is from RNAcentral.
ACACGAUGAGUAGAUAUCAAACAAUGUAAACUCGCCCCACUGGCCAAUCGGCCCACACUAUAUCGCCACUUUAUAAAAAAAUCGCCCCACUCUUGUUUACCGACUCGCCCAACUUUUGAAAAAAGUGUAAAAUCAAAUUUAACAAUCAGUCUGACAACUCACUUAUUAACGAAAAGGGUUUAAACCCCACUGAAUAAAGGUCUGCCAACUCGCCCC